AGGAUUCUUAAGGGUAAAAGAAAAAAAUCGUAAAUACAUUGUCGUCGCGACGCAGUACCUUAUGAACUUAAAGGGAAGCUCCAAAAGCGUGGUGGGUACGUUUUAGCCUCUCUCCUUCGCUUCUAGGAGCCGAAUAGAUUACGAAAGUGGUUCUGGUCUUUGUCAAAAGAGAGAGAGAGAGAAGGAUUAAGAAAAGGAGGUUAGAGCGAGAAAGAAGAGAGUCCAACUGACAAGAAGACAUACGAGAAGGACCAGGGGUUGUUGUCAAGUGGGUAAAGCCUCCUCCACAACGCUGGCUUUUCUUCCUACAGUGUCUCGUAUCCUUCUGUCUUUCUCUUUUCAGACUCCAAGACCAUUCUUCCAAGUUCCUACGGUUCUUUGUGAAAUGUUAAAACAGACUGGACAGCCACGGCUGCUGAUAAAAGAAAUGGGCAUCCCACCAACCGGACAAGAACAAGAAUAGUAGUAGAGACUUUUCCUGAAUAAUGUACAAGAGAGCGUACCCACUGUUUACUAGUCACCAGCUAUCUAUCGCUCUGGAGGAAGCAAAGAAAAAGAAUAAAGACAGAAGCGUGGUACAGCAUUAAUGAGAAGUCAGUAAAACAGAAAAACUGGGUAAACACGAAACUCAUUCCUCACGCCGUGAGAUUUGUUUACUGGUUCUAAUCGAACCUGUGACGUAACGGGGUCGCGUCACGAUUUACAAUGCUAUUCUGUACCGGCAUCGAUUACCCACAGUACUGUAAUAACGCCCUUGUUAUAACGAACAAGGUAACAGAAGGACGAGGAUAAAAUUGGCAAAGGCCUAUGAGAAUAUUGUCACACUGUUGGCAGAGUAUCCGGAUUUUCUUUGUCACUUGAUAGAAAAAGGGGGUUAUACACCCAGAAAUACCUUUUUUACGAGUACAAUCACCUCGGGAUAUCCUACAUCGUUGACUCUCAGCUACAGUAAAAGUCUUAACCCUGUGUCUCAUGUACAUACGUGGGUGUUCAUGGAUGUAACAUGGCGGGGACCAGGCGCUUUUAAAAUUACGAGUCUCGUGGAAAAACAAUUAACGGUAUCGCUCUCAGGAUGGCUGACAUGGUGGGAACGAUAUAACCGUCUACGAAGAUUCAGGAACUAUUACAACUUGGAUAAUAUUGACUAAGGACACGUCACUACGCCUUAUUGAGGAUUUCAGCAGUUUGGAUAAGAAAACUGUGUAAAUAAUAU
Long non-coding RNA from Cephus cinctus (wheat stem sawfly), 1213 nucleotides. RefSeq lists it as uncharacterized. The transcript has 3 exons. The record is from RefSeq and is a predicted model, not a curated record. Lineage: Eukaryota; Metazoa; Arthropoda; Insecta; Hymenoptera; Cephidae.